UAACCCUAAAGACCUACCUCCACAUUCUCUUAUUUCUCUCUUUAUCUCCUCCGUUACAGCCUCUCAUCUCUCUCAAGCUCUCUCUUUGCUAAACCCUACUCUCCUCUCACCGAUUGUUGGCUCGCCGGUAACAAUGGUGGUUCCACCACCACCACUAGCCUCCAUGGCUCAUGCAUGCCGGAUUAUUGCUACCCUUAGGUCCUCAAGGGACCAGCGGAUAUUUAACUCCUCCCCCCUCCUCAUGAUUUUUCAUGUCAUUCUAAGGCCAAUCUUUGCCUGUCCGAGUAAGAACCUGUGGUUUCUAGGUAGAUUCUCUUUCUCAUUUGGGAUAUCACUCUGAAAGCCUAACUAUUAGCUCUUGAUUUCUUAGAUCUGUAAUAGAUAUGGGUAUAUUCUGAGUUAUUGUGCUGUUUUCCUUAAAGUUUUUUCGAUUUUUCUAAAACGACUCUUCAUCUUCAAACCAUGGUUUUUAAACCCUUUUCAAAAUGGCUUUCCCUUAUGAUUUUUGUAUUAAUCUAUGAUUUUCACUAUAUUUAAACGUUUAUUUAAGUUUUCUCUUUUUAUCUGAGUUAUUAUGUUGGAAACCCUAAGUUUCUUGAUUUUAAUCCUGGAUUCUGAGUAUGUUUUGUGAUAAUAUGUUUCCUUAAUCUGUAUGUGUGCUUGUUUCUCAUGAGCCUUAAGAUUCUCUUUGGUUUUAUCCUAUUUUCUUCAUCAGUGUCUCUGACUUUUACUUCUUCUGCCAAUGUCAUGUUUAUUCUAUUAAUUCAUGCUAUGCUCUAUGUGAAUCCCUAAUUUUGUGUAAAUUUACCCUAUUUGGCUUAUUAAGGUUUCUGAUUCUUGCCUAUUUUGUGUUUAUUAUGCUUGUUCUCAUAAAUUUGUGUCAGUUUCUCCUAAAUGAGUACUAUUUGCUAUUUUUAAAUCUUUGAAUCUCUGUGAUUGAUCCUUCACUUAUUUCUUGUGAUAUUCUCUAUUGAUGUUAACAUUAGUAUAUUUUCUUACCUUAAUCUAUUGUCAAGCAUGUUGUCAACUGAUUCUUAAGUUUUUUUCUUGAUUAGAAUCUGCUGAACCUAGUCUCCAUUACAUGUUGUGUAUUUGUACUAUGCUGAAAAUAUUUCCUUAUUUCUUAUAUUCAGCCUUAUAUGAUUUAUUUCCUUAUUUAGUAUUUGCAUGCGACCGUUCAAAUUUAACUCCUUAAUUAAAGGAAGUACUUAUACUGAUUUGAUUUUAUUUUGUACAUAGUAUCAUACUUACUGUUGAACUAUGAUUCUUACCUUAUUCUCUACCUAUUUUAAAACUAUAAGUACCUUGCUCUUUCAUCAACACAAGGACACAAACACAUUGGUUCAAAAACUCUACCUCACACAAAAACUCUCUUCUGCUCUCUUUUCACUGGUUACUUGCUAUUGUUCUAAGUCAGCCGACUGCAAGCCAAGGCUGAUUACUCUACUCUCCUGCUCCUCACUUUGUGUUUACUACCUUCUUUCCUGGUAUGUUCUGAUUUUAAUUCAAGUUCCAAAAAUAAUAUGGUCCUUUUAUUACUUUAAUUCAUCAUGUUUCUUGUCUGCUUUUACUUAUGGCUUUGCUGUGAAACUCAUAGUUGAUAUAUUUACAUUAUUAGCAUGUAAUGUACUCCCAUUCCUUAGGAUCAGUAUAAAUAUAUUAACCCCCCCCCCCCAUUCUGUGUAGGAUGUAUCCUUGUGAUCUUGCUCUAUCUGGUUUCUGGUAUGAAUAUCCUUGUAAAGUAGUCUGCACUCCUAAACUUGUAUGAUUCUGGGAUUGAUUUUAAAUUAUGGUGAUCCUAUAUUGAACCCCAUAAGCAUUGCUAAUUCUAUGACUAUGUCUAAUCAGUGUUUCUAAGCAUAUCUGUACCAAUUCCAAAACCUUUUGUCUGCUAUGUCUUUAUCAUUAUGUGCUUUACCUGUCCCCAAUUCCCAUUUACCCUUGUGUGAAGGCAUGUGGUGCUAAACUUGUCUUGGUUCUUUGUUCUAUGUGUGAUGUUGAAUCUGUUUUGGUUUUGAGGUUGGUCUGUUAUUUGUUGAUUGCCUACUCUUUUCAAAAAUGUCUUGUUGAAUAACUCCUAUGUUGUUUUACAAAACUAUUUUCAAGUCUCUUUUCAAAUUGUUUUCCUACUUAAACUUUUUUCAAAACUAUGUCAAGCACUCUCACUCUAUUCUUAGAUCCCUAAGUUCUACCUCUCUAAUGUGUGACUGUUUAGGGAUCCCGAUGAGAUCCCUUUGAACUUUUUGCAUUAGAACUUGCACUUUCACACUACACAUACUCAAAUAUGGUUGUGAAAUCUAGGUGUGAGCACUGACCAGGAUUCCUUGAGGUCCUUAGGAACUCUGACACACCCGGAUAUGGAGAAAUACUAGGAAACAAUCUGAGCAGUUGAGGUUUUGAAAAUCAUGGCCUAUUUGUAGGCUCCCUAUAGUAUAGCUUCUUAUUAUUCUUUAUAUAUUAAUGUAACUCAUUCAAUACUUGUUUGUAAUAUUCAUUGUAAGCGAAUAUGGGGGGUUGGCUAGUGAAAAAGGGGAGGGUAGCUAUACAUGUUAUCAAAGGGUAGAAAACAUGCUUUAGGUUUACAUUUUUCUUAUGUGCAUUAGAAUUCAUGUUUAGGACCAAAACAUAGCAUAUCAUACAUUAGAUACCAUGCUCCUAGUUUUUAUGUAUACUGUUGUCAUCAUUUCAUUUUGAUAUCCUUAUUAUCACUUAGAAAUCAUGUUUCUAGAAUAAACGACAACAUUAAAAUAAAUGGUUACUUUUGCAUAUUAUGAAAUUAUGUUAUAACCUGUUGUGCAUUUAGAAAUCGUGCUUUAGGACAUUCUGAACCUUAAAUGUGCAUAUUAGAUACCAUGUUUAAGAUCUCGUUUAUACUUGCUCAGUGACACCUAGUUAAUCUAAUCAUGCAUGAAAAGGAUACAAAAUAGUCUCAUGUCUAAUUAUCUUGUUUAAGUAAAACUAGUAAUAAUUCUAUAUCUUGUAAAACGUAGAACAACAUGCUUUGGGUAAAAUAUCUCCUACCCUGUUUUAAUAAUUCUGAUAACUAUUGUGCAUUAUCCUAUGCCUAGGAAAGCCAUAGGUGAUCAACCUCUAUAAAACUAGAAACUGUUCUUUGUGUUUACUGCUUAAUGAUUAACAAGCAUAAAAUCAGUAGGCAAACUGAUUAGGCCCCUGUUUCUAAAAGGGAAGAAAAACGGGGGCGCAACAGCAUGGCGACUUUGCUGGGGGUACCUUUAGGCUCUUACCAUAAAAAACUUUUUUAUGAAUUAGUCCAAGCACGCUUUAUCCCAUACCCUUUCCCUUUUUUAAUUUAAUUAUCCGUUUUCGUUUAAGCAUUUAUGACUAUUUAUCCCUGAAAUUGACGUGUCUCUUUAUUUUCUUUUUCCUGUAACUGUCUUUCAAUUAUUUAAAUAUUGUAUUUAUUUUUCCUACGUGCAAAUACUUGACUACAUGUUAUUAAUCGUUGCAUCAUCCCACUCGUGUGUAUAGCAACGCUUAAUGAGUGGUUAUGCUCUUCCUAUUUAUUACCCUUAAAUUUGAAAAGGCUUAUUUGGGAUAAAACCAGUCGAUCAGCAAUGCACCCAACGGCUUUGUGCCUUACCACUUAAGUUGUAUGCUUGAGGGUACCAGUCUAAAACCCCAUAGUAACCUUACUUUGGUCAAAGUUGUGCAUACAUCAUGGUCUAACCUAGUCGGAUUAAUAUGUUGUCCAUAUAAUGAUCCUUUAAGAUAAGCCUUGUCCAAAAGUCCAUCGGGGUUUCUAUAAUCCCAACAUACACAACCACAUUCUAUAAAUUAAUUUGGAGAACUAAAUGCUGAAAUGCUAAUUAUAAAUGAAUAAAUAGUCGAGUCUGGUGGGGAAAAAGGGACUAGCCCUUUUGUUUUGUAGAAAAUGAGGUACGAGGUCCCAUCUUCGAUAUGGUUAGCACACCCUCCCUCUUGCUAGACUGGUGGAGGAAUUUUCUAUCAAGUGACCAAAUCAACGAAUGGAAACAGAGGGCCAUCAAAUCGAGCAAAAAGUUGGAAUAUCUAGUAUAGCACACCCUUACUCUUGCUAGACUUGUAGAGGAAUCUUCCAUCAAGUGACCAAAUUAAUUAAUGGAAAGACAGGGUCGUCAAAUCUAGCAAAAAGCUGGAAUAUCUGGAAUAUAGUGUGAUGGAAUUGGAAGGAAGAGAAGCACCAACUACUAGAACGUUGAGGGAAACCAAGGCGGCCAUUCGGCAAAGGCACUCUUACUGAUGAGCCUACGCGAAUUGAGGGAUUUGAUCAACAAGAUCAUUCAGCCUGAAGAAGGUCCUUUCAACCAAAAAGAUUAGGUUUAUUUUUUUUUUCAAAUGUAAUAAGGCCAAGUGCCAGUAGUGACUUAUUUUCUUUUAUCUUAGUAUUGUUUUGG
Molecule: long non-coding RNA, 4394 nt
Filed under: Nicotiana benthamiana
Lineage: Eukaryota; Viridiplantae; Streptophyta; Magnoliopsida; Solanales; Solanaceae
Description: long non-coding RNA (NBEN_LNC018428)
Source: RNAcentral